Molecule: ribosomal RNA, 786 nt
Filed under: uncultured bacterium
Lineage: Bacteria
Description: bacterial SSU rRNA
Rfam family: Bacterial small subunit ribosomal RNA
Source: RNAcentral
AGAGUUUGAUCAUGGCUCAGGAUGAACGCUAGCGGCAGGCUUAACACAUGCAAGUCGAGGGGUAUAGGUUUUCGGACCUAGAGACCGGCGCACGGGUGCGUAACGCGUAUGCAUCUNNCUUUUACAGAGGGAUAGCCCAGAGAAAUUUGGAUUAAUACCUCAUAGUAUAAUGACUCGGCAUCGAGAUAUUAUUAAAGUCACAACGGUAAAAGAUGAGCAUGCGUCCCAUUAGCUAGUUGGUAAGGUAACGGCUUACCAAGGCAACGAUGGGUAGGGGUCCUGAGAGGGAGAUCCCCCACACUGGUACUGAGACACGGACCAGACUCCUACGGGAGGCAGCAGUGAGGAAUAUUGGUCAAUGGGCGCAAGCCUGAACCAGCCAUGCCGCGUGCAGGAUGACGGUCCUAUGGAUUGUAAACUGCUUUUGUACAGGAAGAAACAGUUCUACGUGUAGAACCUUGACGGUACUGUAAGAAUAAGGAUCGGCUAACUCCGUGCCAGCAGCCGCGGUAAUACGGAGGAUCCAAGCGUUAUCCGGAAUCAUUGGGUUUAAAGGGUCCGUAGGCGGUUUUGUAAGUCAGUGGUGAAAGCCCGUCGCUCAACGGCGGAACGGCCAUUGAUACUGCAAGACUUGAAUUAUUAGGAAGUAACUAGAAUAUGUAGUGUAGCGGUGAAAUGCUUAGAGAUUACAUGGAAUACCAAUUGCGAAGGCAGGUUACUACUAAUUGAUUGACGCUGAUGGACGAAAGCGUGGGGAGCGAACAGGAUUAGAUACCCUAGUAGUCC